RNAcentral lists this ribosomal RNA (915 nucleotides) under Bacillus sp. XR13A. RNAcentral describes it as "bacterial SSU rRNA". It matches the Rfam family "Bacterial small subunit ribosomal RNA", at positions 61 to 957 of the family's 1533-position model. Lineage: Bacteria; Bacillati; Bacillota; Bacilli; Caryophanales; Bacillaceae. The record is from RNAcentral.
GUCGAGCGGACAGAUGGGAGCUUGCUCCCUGAUGUUAGCGGCGGACGGGUGAGUAACACGUGGGUAACCUGCCUGUAAGACUGGGAUAACUCCGGGAAACCGGGGCUAAUACCGGAUGGUUGUCUGAACCGCAUGGUUCAGACAUAAAAGGUGGCUUCGGCUACCACUUACAGAUGGACCCGCGGCGCAUUAGCUAGUUGGUGAGGUAACGGCUCACCAAGGCGACGAUGCGUAGCCGACCUGAGAGGGUGAUCGGCCACACUGGGACUGAGACACGGCCCAGACUCCUACGGGAGGCAGCAGUAGGGAAUCUUCCGCAAUGGACGAAAGUCUGACGGAGCAACGCCGCGUGAGUGAUGAAGGUUUUCGGAUCGUAAAGCUCUGUUGUUAGGGAAGAACAAGUGCCGUUCAAAUAGGGCGGCACCUUGACGGUACCUAACCAGAAAGCCACGGCUAACUACGUGCCAGCAGCCGCGGUAAUACGUAGGUGGCAAGCGUUGUCCGGAAUUAUUGGGCGUAAAGGGCUCGCAGGCGGUUUCUUAAGUCUGAUGUGAAAGCCCCCGGCUCAACCGGGGAGGGUCAUUGGAAACUGGGGAACUUGAGUGCAGAAGAGGAGAGUGGAAUUCCACGUGUAGCGGUGAAAUGCGUAGAGAUGUGGAGGAACACCAGUGGCGAAGGCGACUCUCUGGUCUGUAACUGACGCUGAGGAGCGAAAGCGUGGGGAGCGAACAGGAUUAGAUACCCUGGUAGUCCACGCCGUAAACGAUGAGUGCUAAGUGUUAGGGGGUUUCCGCCCCUUAGUGCUGCAGCUAACGCAUUAAGCACUCCGCCUGGGGAGUACGGUCGCAAGACUGAAACUCAAAGGAAUUGACGGGGGCCCGCACAAGCGGUGGAGCAUGUGGUUUAAUUCGAAGC